RNAcentral lists this long non-coding RNA (1195 nucleotides) under Sorghum bicolor (sorghum). Its description in RNAcentral is "long non-coding RNA (SBIC_LNC014513)". Lineage: Eukaryota; Viridiplantae; Streptophyta; Magnoliopsida; Poales; Poaceae. The record is from RNAcentral.
GUGGGUUAUUUGUGGAGCUUGGUGGGGAUAUUUUCACAAGGAAUGCAGUCUGAAUUCUUGAUAUUGUAAAGUUAAACCACAAUCCAAACUAGAAGUUCAAUGCCUAGUGCUGACCACAAGAUAUGAGUGAUGUAAAUAGAUCAAACACACGCGCAAAGAUAAUUCAGAUUUGAUGCAAACAAGGAGUAUGCCUAGGAUGCAAGUGUUGCAAUCAAACCCAAGCAAAAUUUUGCACCAAAGAUGGAUAAUGACUGAUUGUGUGACUUGAUAUAAAAUUCAGAACUUGAGCACGUAAACAGAGUGAACUUUCUACUCUUUCUUCACAACUUUUCUUUCUCAACUCUUCUUUUUUUUCACUUUCCUUUUUUUUGAUACUUUGUUUUUUUAUAACUAAGAACAAGAGCAGAUAUAACACUUACACACACUUUUUUUUUGAAACAGGACACAACCGUCAGCGUUCUAACUUGAUAGGAUCAAAGUUUACGCGAAGGAUGAUAUCAGUUUCAGAUUUUCUUUAGGGAUUUGUAGAUAUAAAAGAGGCACAAAGGACACACAAAGGAUAUGAUGAUCAGCAACUAAACAAAACUCUAAUGGACUGAAACUUAACAAAACUCACAAGAAAAACAGAUUGAAACAAAGGGCUAAUGCAAUUUUUUUAUAGCUUUUUGUUGGAUAGGACGAACAAGAUAUAUAUAUGUAGCUAAGGGUAAAAAUCCUACCGUGGAAACUUGAGCUCUGAUACCAGAUGGUGAGGUCGUUGUCCCGAUCUUCACGACGUAGGAUGGAUAACUAGCUGAAGAUCAGCCGAUAACUUGCUGCAAGCAGCGAGGAUAACUAGUGCAACCUGACGACACGCACAAGGAGCCAACCACCGUCUCUAUACGGCAGCCUGAACCAAAGAUUCGCCCAACCACACUCUCAAAGAACCAACCUACGCAACCUGAACUCGAGGAUCAGGAGCACGAUUGGGUGCCGAUGACGCGGCCGCUUCUGUAAUCUCCGCGAAGGAAAACACAAGAGCAAAGGGGUAGAGAUCACUUUCUGAAUUUGUUAGAACGCAGCUGAACAAAGGGGUUCUGUAUUUCAAUUAUCAAAGUCUUGGAUUACAAUGAGUCUUAGGGGGUAUUUAUACUAGCAACAGCCCUGCUAGAUAGGUAUAAAAACGAAAUAGAGUUUCUGAGGGAAGGCAAUGUGA